UUGAUAGCUUUGGAGACUGAAGUCCUUUCUAUCCACAGUACAGGUACAAAGUAACCUUACCCAUGCUGUCCUACCAAUGUGCUUCAAACCCACGGCACCUUCUCUCUAGCGGUGGGAGGGAUAGCUCAUUCUCCAGGCCAAUUUUAAUUCUUCUUCCCU
Molecule: small RNA, 159 nt
Filed under: Chrysemys picta bellii (western painted turtle)
Lineage: Eukaryota; Metazoa; Chordata; Testudines; Emydidae
Description: TUC338 (ENSCPBG00000008569.1)
Source: RNAcentral